UGCCAAGUGCAAGAAGUAUCGUGUGAUAU
This 29-nucleotide non-coding RNA is filed under the name Rattus norvegicus (Norway rat). The record is from RNAcentral. Lineage: Eukaryota; Metazoa; Chordata; Mammalia; Rodentia; Muridae.